This is a non-coding RNA of Podarcis muralis (Common wall lizard), 300 nucleotides long. The record is from RefSeq and is a predicted model, not a curated record. Lineage: Eukaryota; Metazoa; Chordata; Lepidosauria; Squamata; Lacertidae.
GAAUGUGACUUCACACUAUGAUAUUAUCUCUUGCUUGUCUGGAUGGAGAGACUGGUGUAGGUGUGCAGACACCUCUGGCUUGUGCCUGGCUGCUGGAAUACACAGAGUUGACUCACCUUUUGGCCCCGUUUGAGGCUCUUCAAAAUGUCCAGACAUCCAGAAUUUCACUGACAGCUCCUCUUCAACAAGUAAAGAUGAUCUUUAUAUUUCCAGUGGGGAAAAGUCAUGAGAACAUAAGGGCCUGCUGGAUCAAGCCAGAGGCCCACCAGAUGGCUAUGGGAUGCCCACAAGCAGGAAUCG